Molecule: ribosomal RNA, 429 nt
Filed under: Chloroflexota bacterium
Lineage: Bacteria; Bacillati; Chloroflexota
Description: Chloroflexi bacterium partial 16S ribosomal RNA
Rfam family: Bacterial small subunit ribosomal RNA
Source: RNAcentral
UGGGGAAUAUUGCACAAUGGGCGCAAGCCUGAUGCAGCCAUGCCGCGUGUGUGAAGAAGGCCUUCGGGUUGUAAAGCACUUUCAGCGGGGAGGAAGGCGAUAAGGUUAAUAACCUCAUCGAUUGACGUUACCCGCAGAAGAAGCACCGGCUAACUCCGUGCCAGCAGCCGCGGUAAUACGGAGGGUGCAAGCGUUAAUCGGAAUUACUGGGCGUAAAGCGCACGCAGGCGGUCUGUCAAGUCGGAUGUGAAAUCCCCGGGCUCAACCUGGGAACUGCAUUCGAAACUGGCAGGCUAGAGUCUUGUAGAGGGGGGUAGAAUUCCAGGUGUAGCGGUGAAAUGCGUAGAGAUCUGGAGGAAUACCGGUGGCGAAGGCGGCCCCUUGGACAAAGACUGACGCUCAGGUGCGAAAGCGUGGGGAGCAAACAGG